Non-coding RNA from Cinara cedri, 232 nucleotides. The record is from the annotation of a GenBank genome assembly. NCBI's taxonomy places the organism in Eukaryota, Metazoa, Arthropoda, Insecta, Hemiptera, Aphididae.
UAACGAUUUUUCCAGAAAUCUUGCUUCAGUCCAUAUGUCUUUAUAGUAUAUUGGAUCUAGUUGGUGUAUCGGAUAGGUCAUUUUCCCGAUUCUGGCUUGUAGUUUUAUCUAUAACUGUGUAAAACCGAGAAAAAACGUAGGAAAAACAAGAAAGUCUUACACGAGGUCCAUUACAAGUUGUACUGAUAGUGGCAAAAAACAAAUUGAGCGUAAUAUACUAAUAUAGUAGUUU